UGAUUUUAAUUUUAAGAUUAGUUCUGACGUGUUGCUCAGCUCCAACAUCCACCAAAUUUUACUUCACCAUUUUUUAGCCACGUAUCAUUCCAGAUUUUUAUCUCAUUCAAAUCCCUCCAUCCUCAUCAGCCUUUACCAUUUUUCAUGUCUGAAAUUCCUGUGAAACCUCAAACUUGCUAGUAAAUCUCUUCGAUCAUCUCCUUCUACAGAACUUCAGUUUGGUGCGGCGCGACUAGGAUAUGAAUUUUAAUUUAAUUACUCAAGUUGAAGUUCAAGUUCAAGUUCAAAUUUACAGGUUAUAAAGGCCGGAGGCACGUGGAAGGUCGAAUGGCCGCCUCAAGUCAUUUGAAGAUAGUUGAUUCAAGUAUUUAAAGUUUUACUUAAUAGUUAAAUAUUUUCAUGACAUCUUUAUGUCAUGCUUUGGGACAAGAUGUUGAUUGUCGAUUUUAAACCAAAGGUAGUAUUUGAAUAUAUCAUUAAAAGUUGAUAUCUUUUAAAUCGUUUGAAAAUUGUUUUAAAAGUUUAUUACAUUUAAGGCUUUACUUUCCUUAAAUUGUUUGCUAGAAUUUUAUUUUAAAAGUUGAUUUUAUUUUAAAAGUUAAUUU
Salvia miltiorrhiza (redroot sage) is the source of this 605-nucleotide long non-coding RNA. RefSeq lists it as uncharacterized. Lineage: Eukaryota; Viridiplantae; Streptophyta; Magnoliopsida; Lamiales; Lamiaceae. The transcript is spliced from 3 exons. The record is from RefSeq and is a predicted model, not a curated record.